GCAUAUCAAUAAGCGGAGGAAAAGAAACCAACAGGGAUUGCCUUAGUAACGGCGAGUGAAGCGGCAAAAGCUCAAAUUUGAAAUCGGCCACCAGGUCGAGUUGUAAUUUGUAGAUUGUAUCUUGAGAGCGGAUUAAAGUCUGUUGGAACACAGCGCCUUAGAGGGUGACAGCCCCGUAAAAUCUAUUCUCAUUGUAAGAUACUUUCGAAGAGUCGAGUUGUUUGGGAAUGCAGCUCUAAGUGGGAGGUAAAUUCCUUCUAAAGCUAAAUAUUGACGAGAGACCGAUAGCGAACAAGUACUGUGAAGGAAAGAUGAAAAGCACUUUGAAAAGAGAGUGAAAAAGUACGUGAAAUUGUUAAAAGGGAAGGGUAUUGAAUCAGACUUGGUGCUGUUGUUCAACUGUGUUUCGGCAUAGUGUACUCAGCAGUACUAGGCCAAGGUGGGGUGUUUGGGAGUGAAAAAGAAGUAGGAAGGUAACUCUUCGGAGUGUUAUAGCCUACUUUCAUAGCUCCUCAGGCGCCUCAGGACUGCGCUUCGGCAAGGACCUUGGCAUAAUGAUU
This 560-nucleotide ribosomal RNA is filed under the name Geotrichum candidum. RNAcentral describes it as "partial large subunit ribosomal RNA". It matches the Rfam family "Eukaryotic large subunit ribosomal RNA", at positions 38 to 639 of the family's 3401-position model. The record is from RNAcentral. Lineage: Eukaryota; Fungi; Ascomycota; Dipodascomycetes; Dipodascales; Dipodascaceae.